This 273-nucleotide ribosomal RNA is filed under the name uncultured bacterium. RNAcentral describes it as "partial 16S ribosomal RNA". It matches the Rfam family "Bacterial small subunit ribosomal RNA", at positions 524 to 796 of the family's 1533-position model. The record is from RNAcentral.
GACGUAGGGGGCAAGCGUUGUCCGGAAUCACUGGGCGUAAAGAGCUCGUAGGCGGUCUGUUUAGUCGGGUGUGAAAGCCCUCGGCUCAACCGAGGAAUUGCACUCGAUACUGGCAGGCUAGAGUCAAGCAGAGGGAAGUGGAAUUCCCGGUGUAGCGGUGAAAUGCGCAGAUAUCGGGAAGAACACCGGUGGCGAAGGCGGCUUCAUGGGCUUGUACUGAAGCGGAGGAGAGAAAGCUAGGGGAGCGCACAGGAUGCGAUAACACCGGAGUCC